UACGUAGGGGACGAGCGUUGUCCGGAAUUAUUGGGCGUAAAGAGCGUGUAGGCGGCUUAUCAAGUCCUGCGUGAAAUCUCGGGGCUCAACCCCGAGCGGUCGUGGGAAACUGGUUGGCUAGAGUGCGGGAGAGGAGAGUGGAAUUCCCAGUGUAGCGGUGAAAUGCGCAGAUAUUGGGAAGAACACCCGUGGCGAAGGCGGCUCUCUGGAACGCAACUGACGGCUG
This 226-nucleotide ribosomal RNA is filed under the name uncultured bacterium. RNAcentral describes it as "partial 16S ribosomal RNA". It matches the Rfam family "Bacterial small subunit ribosomal RNA", at positions 524 to 748 of the family's 1533-position model. The record is from RNAcentral.